This is a small nucleolar RNA of Apteryx haastii (Great spotted kiwi), 84 nucleotides long. Its record names the gene SNORD24. It matches the Rfam family "Small nucleolar RNA SNORD24". From Rfam's summary of the family: U24 is a member of the C/D class of snoRNA which contain the C (UGAUGA) and D (CUGA) box motifs. C/D box snoRNAs have been shown to act as methylation guides for a number of RNA targets. The record is from Ensembl. Lineage: Eukaryota; Metazoa; Chordata; Aves; Apterygiformes; Apterygidae.
UGCCACAAUGAUGACAUUUAUUUGCUACUCUUGACCAAGAGAAUGAUGAGAACUUCUACCACCAUCAUUUCCAUCUGAGAGGCA